Molecule: long non-coding RNA, 1340 nt
Filed under: Polistes fuscatus (common paper wasp)
Lineage: Eukaryota; Metazoa; Arthropoda; Insecta; Hymenoptera; Vespidae
Description: uncharacterized LOC122517488
Source: RNAcentral
UUCGUUCCACUAUAAAAAUAUGUAAAAACAUAAUAGCAAAUUGUAAUAUUACAGAAUUUCCAUUGACAGUUUAGAAUUGUAAGAUGGAUUCUGCGUGUGGUAGUCGACUCUCUCUCUCUCUGUCUCUCUUUCUCUUGGUCUAGUUUCUCACGAGGUUUCUAUCCAGGCGCGAUAGAAAUCGGCGUGAAAUGGCACCGCCACAGUCAAUCUUGGGUCUCCUCAGUCGACGCGCGGCAUCCGUGUCAAACGCAUCGCGUCAUUUCUCUCUCGGUCUAAUAACAUCUAAUAUUUUUUUUCCUUCUUUUCUAUUAUUUCCUAAUACAAAAUAAAAAAGAACAAAAAAAGAGAAAAAAGAAAGAAAAAAUAUAUAAAUGAACGAAAAGAACAAAAAAAAAAAAUGCAAAUUGCAAAUCACGAUUGCAAUGAUCACCGUGAAAUCUCGUUGGAUCAUCGCGUGAUCGGACGUGGUUCACCGAUGUUAUAAGAGAACGCGAUCGCUAUGAUAGACCGGAUCUGACGAAGAGAUUGAGAAGAUAGAGAUAGAUAGAGAGAGAGAAAGAAGAUCUAUUUGACUCGUGACAAUUGUACUAACGUGCGUGCGAAAGUGACUAGUUUAUAAAGAUUAUUAUAUCGAUCAUUUAACAAAAUAUUAUUAAAUAUACACAUAUACAUCUCAAUUGAUGGCAUAUUUAAUAAACCAAUCAAAUAAAAUGAUAUAAUUACAUCUUAUAUAUAAAAAAGAGAGAGAGAGAGUGAGAGAAUAGAAAAUAAAAUCAACGAGUUUCUAAAGUCGAGUUUGGAAGAUCUAUUACAAGAUCGAAAUAGAAUAUCAUCGAAUGAAGCAUUGGAAUUGUCAUAGUCGAUGAUUCGAUCGAUGUCUCACCGUUUCCCUUUGAUCUUUGUUGACCCUUGAAACAACGAAUAUCGAGGCUAAUAUCAUUAAAUUAAACCGAUCUAUCCUUAGUUAAGUGGAUCCAGGUGGAAACGAUUAAAUCCAUCAAGAUUUAGAUCGCGGUGAUGAAGUUUAAGAGAAACAACUUGAACUGUGAGAAUCUUGAUUAUUUAUUGUCCCAUCGAAGGAACUUGAACUGUCCUGUGGUCAGAGAUAAUAAUAUGGGUAUUACUGUUACUCGUGUUCGACUUAUAGCCAUUUAAAAAAUAAUCAAGAGAGAAAGAAAGAAAAGAAAUUGUAAAAGAAAGAAAGAAAGAAAGAAAGAAAAAAAAAAAGCUACGUAUAUCUAGCUUCGAGAAUGAAAAUCGUGUCAAGAUCAUCGAGUCCGGAGCCGGUGUUGUUGGCUGUGAUAUACACGAGGGAAGUAUCUUUGGAUGAGAAAGAAAAA